Small nuclear RNA from Carassius auratus (goldfish), 191 nucleotides. Its record names the gene U2. It matches the Rfam family "U2 spliceosomal RNA". From Rfam's summary of the family: U2 is a small nuclear RNA (snRNA) component of the spliceosome (involved in pre-mRNA splicing). Complementary binding between U2 snRNA (in an area lying towards the 5' end but 3' to hairpin I) and the branchpoint sequence (BPS) of the intron results the bulging out of an unpaired adenosine, on the BPS, which initiates a nucleophilic attack at the intronic 5' splice site, thus starting the first of two transesterification reactions that mediate splicing. Lineage: Eukaryota; Metazoa; Chordata; Actinopteri; Cypriniformes; Cyprinidae. The record is from Ensembl.
AUCGCUUCUCGGCCUUUUGGCUAAGAUCAAGUGUAGUAUCUGUUCUUAUCAGUUUAAUAUCUGAUACGUCCCCCAUCCGGGGACUACAUAUUAAAUGGAUUUUUAGAUCACGGAGCUGGAGCCGGGGCUUGCUCCGUCCACUCCAUGCAUCGGCCUGGUAUUGCAGUGUCUCCAGGAACGGUGUGCUUUCC